RNAcentral lists this unclassified non-coding RNA (150 nucleotides) under uncultured Ascomycota. RNAcentral describes it as "sequence contains ITS2". The record is from RNAcentral. Lineage: Eukaryota; Fungi; Ascomycota.
CACCCCUCGAACCCCCCGGGUUUGGUGUUGGGCGACGCCCGCCGCGGCCAGCCUCAAAGCGAAUGACGGUUCCCAACCAACCUCGGGCGUACAAGCAUCGCGACGGUGGACGGUUGGGGGCUGGUCUUAAAUCUUUUAUAAGCUUCUGAA